Molecule: unclassified non-coding RNA, 562 nt
Filed under: Hevea brasiliensis (rubber tree)
Lineage: Eukaryota; Viridiplantae; Streptophyta; Magnoliopsida; Malpighiales; Euphorbiaceae
Source: RNAcentral
GUGUCGUAAACUUUCUUGCCCAUGAACUGUCGCACAUCGGCGACGACCUGAUUCGACAGGUUGUUGCGCGAGUCGAACAUCGUCAGCACGAUGCCGUGGAUCGAUAGCGUCGGGNAGCGUCGAGCGCACCUGCUCCACCGUCUGCAGCAACUGCGACAGACCUUCGAGCGCGAAGAACUCACACUGCAACGGAACGAGAAUCGCGUGCGACGCCGCCAUGGCGUUGACGGUGAUGAGAUUGAGCGACGGCGGGCAAUCGAUCAGCACGUAGGUGUAAUCGGUGUCCGGCGCGACAUUGACGUUGAGGUCGGCGAUGGCGUCGCGCAGACGAAACGCACGAUCACGCGUGGUGCCGAGUUCGAGUUCAAGACCCGANUCCAUGGUCGAAGCCGCGAUGUGCAGGCGAGGCACCGCGGUCGGAAUGAUCGCCUCGCGCAGCUUUGCUUCGCCGACCAGCACGUCAUAGGUCGAGCAGCUGCGGUUGCGGCGAUCGAUGCCGAGACCGGUCGACGCGUUGCCCUGCGGAUCGAGAUCGACGAUCAGCACCCGCUCGCCGAUGGCA